UUAACGGUCAUCGAUCUAUGUA
Molecule: unclassified non-coding RNA, 22 nt
Filed under: Dictyostelium discoideum
Lineage: Eukaryota; Evosea; Eumycetozoa; Dictyosteliales; Dictyosteliaceae
Source: RNAcentral